GAUGAAGAACGCAGCGAAAUGCGAUAAGUAAUGUGAAUUGCAGAAUUCAGUGAAUCAUCGAAUCUUUGAACGCACAUUGCGCCCGCCAGCAUUCUGGCGGGCAUGCCUGUUCGAGCGUCAUUUCAACCCUCGAGCCCCCCCGGGGGCCUCGGUGUUGGGGGACGGCACACCAGCCGCCCCCGAAAUACAGUGGCGACCCCGCCGCAGCCUCCCCUGCGUAGUAGCACACACCUCGCACCGGAGCGCGGAGGCGGUCACGCCGUAAAACGCCCAACUUUCUUAGAGUUGACCUCGGAUCAGGUAGGAAUACCCGCUGAACUUAAGCAUAUCAAUAAGCGGAGGA
This 343-nucleotide unclassified non-coding RNA is filed under the name soil metagenome. RNAcentral's name for it is "partial contains 5.8S ribosomal RNA, internal transcribed spacer 2, and large subunit ribosomal RNA". The stretch from base 1 to 120 matches the Rfam family "5.8S ribosomal RNA", at positions 35 to 154 of the family's 154-position model. The record is from RNAcentral.